This is a long non-coding RNA of Mercenaria mercenaria, 350 nucleotides long. RefSeq lists it as uncharacterized. The transcript is spliced from 2 exons. NCBI's taxonomy places the organism in Eukaryota, Metazoa, Mollusca, Bivalvia, Venerida, Veneridae. The record is from RefSeq and is a predicted model, not a curated record.
AGGCUGGCAGAGAGUUACCUCACCAAGGUAUUGGAAAAAGAGGCAAUGAUUUCAAUUUUACAAACGCACUCUGGAUUUUCAUACCUUGAAGCAGAUACAAAACUUAAGGAAACGGAAGGAAGCACAAGAGCACUGUUUCAAAAACUUUUACAGAAACAUGCCUCUGAUAAUAUUUAAUAUGGAUUCAUGAAACCUUGCAGGAGCCUUAAUAUGAACUUGCGCACCUGCUGCUUUUCAUCUGGGUCCACCUACUGUUUACAGAGCUGUGACCCCUGAAUGUCAAAAAGGCACAUUUUGACCUAGUGAAUUGCCCAGUUCAUAAGUAUUUAAUAAAAAUUGUUUAAACCGUG